This 274-nucleotide ribosomal RNA is filed under the name uncultured bacterium. Its description in RNAcentral is "partial 16S ribosomal RNA". It matches the Rfam family "Bacterial small subunit ribosomal RNA", at positions 523 to 796 of the family's 1533-position model. The record is from RNAcentral.
AUACGGAGGGUGCAAGCGUUAAUCGGAAUUACUGGGCGUAAAGCGCGCGUAGGCGGUUUGGUAAGUCGGAUGUGAAAGCCCCGGGCUCAACCUGGGAAUUGCAUUCGAUACUGCCAGACUAGAGUAUGGUAGAGGGUAGCGGAAUUCCCGGUGUAGCGGUGAAAUGCGUAGAUAGCGGGAGGAACACCAGUGGCGAAGGCGGCUACCUGGACCAAUACUGACGCUGAGGUGCGAAAGCGUGGGGAGCGAACAGGAUUAGAAACCCUAGUAGUCC